Molecule: small nucleolar RNA, 125 nt
Organism: Chelonoidis abingdonii (Abingdon island giant tortoise)
Lineage: Eukaryota; Metazoa; Chordata; Testudines; Testudinidae
Gene: SNORA70
Rfam family: Small nucleolar RNA SNORA70
About the family: snoRNA U70 seems to be exclusive to mammals and is a member of the H/ACA class of snoRNA which contain H (ANANNA) and ACA box motifs. H/ACA box snoRNAs are involved in the conversion of uridines to pseudouridines (5-ribosyluracil) a constituent of structural RNAs (transfer, ribosomal, small nuclear, and small nucleolar).
Source: Ensembl
GCGCAGCCAGUUAAGCUGACUGGCCUGCCUGCCAUGGGGGCCUGGUGUGCAAUGGCUGCGCACAGCACCCCCCUGGUUGUGUAUGUGCUCUGUACGGAGCGCCCUAAGGGACCGCGGGGACAUGG